CCUACGGGAGGCAGCAGUGGGGAAUAUUGGACAAUGGGCGCAAGCCUGAUCCAGCCAUGCCGCGUGAGUGAAGAAGGCCUUAGGGUUGUAAAGCUCUUUCACCCGCGAAGAUGAUGACGGUAGCGGGAGAAGAAGCCCCGGCUAACUCCGUGCCAGCAGCCGCGGUAAUACGGAGGGGGCGAGCGUUGUUCGGAAUUACUGGGCGUAAAGGGCGCGUAGGCGGCGCGACACGUCAGGGGUGAAAGGCCCGGGCUCAACCUGGGAAUUGCCUUUGAAACUGUUGUGCUAGAGACCGGGAGAGGAUGGCGGAAUUCCCAGUGUAGAGGUGAAAUUCGUAGAUAUUGGGAAGAACACCGGUGGCGAAGGCGGCCAUCUGGACCGGAUCUGACGCUGAGGCGCGAAAGCGUGGGGAGCAAACAGGAUUAGAUACCCUGGUAGUCCACGCCCUAAACGAUGAGAACUAGCCGUUGGGGGUAUUUAAACCCUUCGUGGCGCAGCUAACGCGAUAAGUUCUCCGCCUGGGGAGUACGGCCGCAAGGUUAAAACUCAAAGGAAUUGACGG
RNAcentral lists this ribosomal RNA (562 nucleotides) under uncultured Alphaproteobacteria bacterium. RNAcentral's name for it is "bacterial SSU rRNA". It matches the Rfam family "Bacterial small subunit ribosomal RNA", at positions 338 to 916 of the family's 1533-position model. The record is from RNAcentral. Lineage: Bacteria; Pseudomonadati; Pseudomonadota; Alphaproteobacteria.